Molecule: ribosomal RNA, 475 nt
Filed under: uncultured bacterium
Lineage: Bacteria
Description: bacterial SSU rRNA
Rfam family: Bacterial small subunit ribosomal RNA
Source: RNAcentral
ACUCCUACGGGAGGCAGCAGUGGGGAAUAUUGCACAAUGGGCGCAAGCCUGAUGCAGCCCAUGCCGCGUGUAUGAAGAAGGCCUUCGGGUUGUAAAGUACUUUCAGCAGUGAGGAAGGUGGGUAUGUUAAUAGCAUACUCAUUUGACGUUAGCUGCAGAAGAAGCACCGGCUAACUCCGUGCCAGCAGCCGCGGUAAUACGGAGGGUGCGAGCGUUAAUCGGAAUUACUGGGCGUAAAGCGCAUGCAGGUGGUUUGUUAAGUCAGAUGUGAAAGCCCGGGGCUCAACCUCGGAAUUGCAUUUGAAACUGGCAAACUAGAGUACUGUAGAGGGGGGUAGAAUUUCAGGUGUAGCGGUGAAAUGCGUAGAGAUCUGAAGGAAUACCGGUGGCGAAGGCGGCCCCCUGGACAGAUACUGACACUCAGACUGCGAAAGCGUGGGGACGCGAAACAGGAUUAGAUACCCUGGUAGGCUCU